This is a long non-coding RNA of Diprion similis, 256 nucleotides long. RefSeq lists it as uncharacterized. NCBI's taxonomy places the organism in Eukaryota, Metazoa, Arthropoda, Insecta, Hymenoptera, Diprionidae. The record is from RefSeq and is a predicted model, not a curated record. The transcript is spliced from 3 exons.
CGAAAUAAGUGACCCUGGUAAUAUACGAUGGAGAACAAAAUGGAGAAGCUGAACAGGUCGCCAUUUUGUGGAAGACCAGAAAACAGGGGCACACCAUAUUGCAGCACUAUCGACCACAUUUAGUGAUGAUCCGAAUGACGUAACCCAAUCAAUCCAUCUCUGACAACAAACUGAAAAUUAAAACACCUGCUAUGCAGUGAAUAAAACUGAAAGUAUGAAAAGUGUGUCACUGCCAUACAACAUGAGAAGCCACGAG